UAGUGCUGUCCGUUCAGACCUGAAAAAUGUCUGAAAAUUCCAGUGACAGUGAUUUAUCUUAUGGUUGGACUGUCAUCCAUCAUGAGGGGUCUGGUGUAGAGAUGGUGAAUUCUGAACAUGGUACAACCAGUGACAGCUGUGAGCUCGCUCCAGAAUGUACAUCUUUAGAGCAAGAGAAGCUACAAGUAUUGCAAUCAGAGGAGGGAAAGAGUAGCUAAAAUGGCACAGUGUUAAUGGAAGAAGAAACUGCUGAUCCAGCUUUGGAAGAAACAAAGUCAGCACUUGAGAGAGAAGAAGAAAAGUCAUCUGAAGACAAUGUCUCUUUUGGAGCUGUCCGUGAUGAUUCUGAUAUUGUUAACCGUAAGCCACCUAAGUUAGAAGAAAUUGGAAAUUAAGAAGCUAUAAUUGUUGGAGAGGCACAGAGUCCAGAAGACUUUAACAUGGGCUCUUUUUCUAGCACCCAGGAUACAUCCUGUAAUCCAGAAACUUUGUUUUCAUCACAGGCUAGUGAUGAUGAAUCAAAAAGUAUUGAAAUCAGUCAUCAGCCUAGUCCUGACUUUAGAUGAUGGCAUGCUAGGAAGAAGAGUGUUCUUAGUUCAGAAUCUGAGGAGCAGCUAAUUGCCAAACAAGAAACCAAACCCUCUAAGGAAUUGUGUAAAUGGCAGUUCAACAGUGGUCUCAAUAAGUGUGUUACACUUGAUUCGUGAUUGCAAUCGGCAUGGGAUUUGGAUAUCUCUAUGGCAUACUUCAGCUUCAGAAACAUCAACAGUCAGAAAGAUACAUGAAGAUGAACUGAAUGAUAUGAAGGAUUAUAUUUCCCAACAGGAAACAGGAACAAGCAUCUUUUAUAGAUUAUAAGUCAUUGAAGGAAAACCUUGCAAGAUGUUGGGACCUUACUGAAGGAAGGAUGUCUUUUGAGACUCAGAAAAAGAACCCUGAUACAUAAAAUCAAUAUUUAAGAAUAUCUCUGUAGAAGGAAGAAAAAGCCUUAUCUUCAUUAAAGGAAGAGUUAAGGAAACUAAGAGAACAGAUUAGUAUAUUGGAAGAUAAAGGGACAGGGACUGAAUUGGUUACGGAAAAUCAGAAACUUAAGCAGAAUCUGGAAAAAAGAACUAAACACACAUAGCUUUCUUAACCAAAGGGAGACUCUUUUCACAGAAGCAAAGAUGCUAAGGAGGGAAAUGGAGAGAGAACAACUAAUAACCAUGGCUUUAAAGGCGGAACAUCAGCAGUGAAACUCUAGUGAGUCAUAUUGCAACUCAGACUCUCCCAAUGUAUUGAGUGAAAAAAAGGACAUAGAAAUCUUAUGGGAAGGACUCACCAAAUUGGAGCAGAAGCUAAACUUUGAACAGCAGCAUUAUGAUUUGUGGGAAAGACUCUAUAUUUAGGCAAAAGAUUGAAAUGUAAAACAAGAAACUGAUGGAAAAAAGAAAGAGGGCAGAGGAAACAACAGGGCUAAAAAUAAGUCAAAGGAAACAUUUUGGGUUUGGUGAAGGAAAAAUUUGAUGCUAUGAAGAAUUCUACCAAGGAUUUUGUGAGGCAUCAUAAAGAAGAAAUUGAACAGGCUAAGGCAGCUGUGAAAGAAAAUCUGAAAAAAAUCUCAGGUUCAGUUAAAUCCACUUUUAGGCAUUUCAAAGAUACCACCAAGAAUAUCCUUGAUGAAAAGGACAAUAAAAGAUUUGGUGCCACAAAAGCAGCAGCUAAAAAGCCAAAAGCUAAAAAGUCUUUUAUUUAAAUAAUUUUUAAAAAUUUUUAUUCAUUUUUGAGAGAGGGGGAGAAAGAGUGAGAGUGAGAGAGAGAGAGAGAGAGGAAGACACAGAAACCAAAGCAGGCUCCAGGCUCUGAAUUAUCAGCACAGAGCUUGACAUGGGAUUCAAACCCAGGAACCAUGAGAUCAUGAUCUGAGCCCAAGUCGAUGCUUAAUCAACUGAGCCACCCAGGUACGCCCAACAACAGUCUUUAGUGAAUGUUUACACUCACAGUAUAGGCACGUACAUAAAACAAGAAUAAUAGAGGUAAAGAGAGUGAAGGAAAGAAAAGCCAAUUCACUCUGAAGAAUUUAGAAAAAAAAUACAAAUUCACAGAAAUGCAGUGCUGAGCAUGACUAAUGAAAAUUAUGAUUUUUUUCAGAAGUCUUGUUCCGGUGUAUUGAAUGUGUUCAACAGGAAUCCAUUCAUUUUUUAAUAUGAAAGUAUUGAAUCCUGUAAGGAUAGAUGAACUUAUUUAAUUAAAAAAUAUUUAGUAGAAAAACUGGAUGGUUUUCAUCAUUAGGAAGAAUGAUCCAUUUAUCAAUGAGUUUUCCUAAAUGGUAUCUUUAUAUAUGAUCAGAGGCUCUUCACUGACUUUGCUAAUGAUGUUAAAGAUUAUCUUAAAGACAUGAAGUGAUAUCAGAUAAUGGUGGAGUGUUGGAAAAGUGGAUGGACAUAUAUAUAUAUAGACACUUCUUUGGUCACACUCUUUCCCCUACUCUUUUCCGCAGUCAACCAGAUAAAAAACAAUGAAUGGUAAAUAUUGAAAACUCAGGCAUCGAAAACAAAAGCAGAAGCACCCUUAGCCACAAUCUUCUAAAAGAGAAUGUAAAUUACAUAAAUAUGGUUGUGGUAAUGGAAGACACAUGGCAGAUCUUGAAAUAGAAUUGGGGCAGUUACCUUUUGACCCUAAAUAUUGAUCAUCAUGGUUAACUUAAAUUAGAAAAUAGUAACAGAAACAUGGAUGCUGUCCACAAUGUUUGGCGUUGAAACUGAAAUGAAAUUAUCAAGAUAAUGUCUAUCAUUCCUAAGUAUCAGUUUGAUGACUCUACAUUAUUACUCAGAAGCAUCAAGCAAAAGCUUACUAACUUGCAUUUUCCUGUAGUUGAGCUUUGCUGAUUUUUUUUUUUUUUGCACUGUAAAUGUUCAACUGUAGUUUUAAGGAAGUCAGGCAUGCAACAGAUUUUGUACAUGCAAUGAAUCUUCCUUUUAGUGUAUGAGCUUAGUGAGCUCAAAUCAUAUGACAAAGUGUAAUUAACACUGAUAUUUGUGUUACAUUUUCAGUAGAGCUUGAAAAGAGUACAUUGUGAUGGAAUUUCAUUUUUAACAUUUUAUAAUCUUACACUUGCUUCUUGUCUUUUUUUUUUUUUUUUUUUUUUUGGCUUCAAGAGCCCCAUUGACUUGUGAUGAAUUUGCUGCCUUCUUAUGAGUUUGCUGACUUGUUCUCUUGUGAAAUUUCUUGGACAUCUGAAUAUUGUAGAAGAAACAAUAAAACUCACCAUGAGGAAAUCUAAAGGUCUUUAUUUAAAAUCUGGCAUUUGUAUUAAAAUAUGAUUUUAUAUUAAAAUAUGAUUUUAUACUUUGUGAUAUGUUUUAUACAUUUCCUCAGUAGUGAUAUUUGGUAAAGCAGUUCACUGUUUUGUUUUGUUUUGUUUUGUUUUGGGUUUUUUUGUUUUGUUUUGUUUUUUUGCUAGUUCCAUGAAUCUUGCCCAAUGUUUACAGGCUUAUUUAUGCAGCAUCUGAAUAUUUCUACCCAGCAAUGUCUAUUUCUAGGAAAGAUUUAAACACAGUUCAGAAUUUCAUCUUCUGGAACAUCUGAGUUUCCCUUUUAAUUUCUAUUCAUAGACAUAUAUGUGACUUCCAGUUUGACCUUCUGGCAAAUGAGUGUGGAAGAACAGAGAAGUUCUCUCAUAGCUGCUUGAGAUUAGGAAAGCUCUUAUUUCCUAGAAGUAAAUAAAUGUUUGAGUAAAUAAAGGCUACA
Molecule: long non-coding RNA, 3729 nt
Filed under: Lynx pardinus (Iberian lynx)
Lineage: Eukaryota; Metazoa; Chordata; Mammalia; Carnivora; Felidae
Source: RNAcentral